CGACGUGGGUAACGUACCUUUUAGUGGGGAACAACAGUGAGAAAUUACUGCUAAUACCGCAUGAGAUUAGCCUAUCGCAUGAUAGGAUAAAGAAAGGCGGCCUCUCAAAGAAGCUGCCGCUAAAAGAUCGACCCGCGUCUGAUUAGCUAGUUGGUGAGGUAACGGCCCACCAAGGCAACGAUCAGUAGCCGGCCUGAGAGGGUGAACGGCCACAUUGGGACUGAGACACGGCCCAA
RNAcentral lists this ribosomal RNA (236 nucleotides) under uncultured bacterium. RNAcentral's name for it is "partial 16S ribosomal RNA". It matches the Rfam family "Bacterial small subunit ribosomal RNA", at positions 113 to 334 of the family's 1533-position model. The record is from RNAcentral.